This 313-nucleotide ribosomal RNA is filed under the name uncultured bacterium. RNAcentral describes it as "bacterial SSU rRNA". It matches the Rfam family "Bacterial small subunit ribosomal RNA", at positions 28 to 332 of the family's 1533-position model. The record is from RNAcentral.
GAUGAACGCUAGCUACAGGCUUAACACAUGCAAGUCGAGGGGCAGCAUGAACAAAGCUUGCUUUGUUUGAUGGCGACCGGCGCACGGGUGCGUAACACGUAUCCAAUCUGCCCGCGGCUCGGGGAUAGCCCAUCGAAAGAUGGAUUAAUACCCGAUGGCGUGGUCACUCCGCAUGGAGUUUCCACUAAAGGUUUUCCGGCCGCGGAUGAGGAUGCGUAUGAUUAGGUAGUAGGCGGGUAACGGCCCACCUAGCCUUCGAUCAUUAGGGGUUCUGAGAGGAAGGUCCCCCCANACUGGAACUGAGACACGGUCC